CAGAUCUGCAACAGAUCUGUUAAAUCCUGUUGUCAACAAGCCGAUAUCUGGAUGCGUUCGCUCGCCUUGUACCUGUCUGUUCUGACAGACCUGCAACGGCCUGUCAACAGGUCUGUUACAAGCUGUUGUGACAGAGCUGCUGCAAUGCUGUUUUCAACAGGUCUGUUACAAGCUGUUGUGACAGAGCUGCUGCAAUGCUGUUUUCAACAGGUCUGUUACAAGCUGUUGUGACAGAGCUGCUGCAAUGCUGUUUUCAACAACUUGCGACAGACCUGUUGCAAACCGAGGAAAGCGCCUUAUGAAGCUUGUGUAUCCACUAUUUUGAACAAAAAACGGCCAAACAGGUUGCCAUAUUUCGGUUGUAGUGUUUCGUGAAAAAGAAGUUUGAAAUAUAAAGUUUUAUAAACAAACUUGCGAGAUAAUUUUUAUAUAUGAAUAUAAAGUUUUAUAAACAAACUUGCGAGAUAAUUUUUAUAUAUGAAUAUAAAGUUUUAUAAACAAACUUGCGA
This is a non-coding RNA of Paramuricea clavata, 509 nucleotides long. Lineage: Eukaryota; Metazoa; Cnidaria; Anthozoa; Malacalcyonacea; Plexauridae. The record is from the annotation of a GenBank genome assembly.